UACGAGAGGCCCAAACGUUAUUCGGAUUUACUGGGCUUAAAGAGUUCGUAGGCGGCGCGGAAAGUAGGGUGCGAAAGCCCUCGGCUCAACCGAGGAAUUGCGCUCUAAACUGUCGCGCUCGAGGAACCUAGAGGUGAGCAGAACUGAUGGUGGAGCGGUGAAAUGCGUUGAUAUCAUCAGGAAUACCGGAGGCGAAGGCGGCUCACUGGGGGUUAUCUGACGCUGAGGAACGAAAGCGUGGGGAGCGAACAGG
Molecule: ribosomal RNA, 253 nt
Filed under: uncultured bacterium
Lineage: Bacteria
Description: partial 16S ribosomal RNA
Rfam family: Bacterial small subunit ribosomal RNA
Source: RNAcentral